AUACCCAUUGACUUGGACAA
Molecule: ribosomal RNA, 20 nt
Filed under: Rhizoctonia solani
Lineage: Eukaryota; Fungi; Basidiomycota; Agaricomycetes; Cantharellales; Ceratobasidiaceae
Description: partial 28S ribosomal RNA
Source: RNAcentral